Taeniopygia guttata (zebra finch) is the source of this 3939-nucleotide non-coding RNA. NCBI's taxonomy places the organism in Eukaryota, Metazoa, Chordata, Aves, Passeriformes, Estrildidae. The record is from RefSeq and is a predicted model, not a curated record.
AAAAAUAUUUGGGAUUUUUCAAUUACUAUUUAAAUAUUAUUUAAAUGCUUGUCAUGUGUAUCUAAAGCAACCAAUAGAGAUAAUAACUAAAAGCUUCUUAAAUUUUCUGACAUUUAAGAGUGCACAUAAUGCAGAGGCUUUAUGGAAUGCUGAUAAAUUUCCUUGACCUACUGCUGAAAUUUGAAUAAACAUAUCAUUAUGGACUUUAAAAUGGGGCUUUUAUGUAUAGUGGCACAUUAGGACCUGAUGUGGUAGGCUUUAAGUAGCCUAUUAGAAAAUCUUUCAGCUUGCAGACAAUUCCAGCUAUUGUGGGGUCACUGAGGGUUAAUGAUUUAUUCCUGAAAUGAAUGGGAGUUUUGUCAUUGAUUUGACAGAAUUGAUAAAGUCAUUUUGCUUUUUCACUUUUUAAUAGUUCUUCUGGAGAGAACAGUGUAUGAACAGAAGUCUCAAUCCUAUUAGAAAUCAAGCUCUGGGACAGUGAAGCCAACAUUUACGUGGAUUUCUGUGCCCCAGAAGCACUGGGAACACAGUGUGAGACAUGUCCUAAUUUUGUUCACAUCUUUUACCUCAGACAAACACAUAGGUGAAUUCAGUGAAAGAAAAAAAAUCAGAGAACAUCAAAUUAUCAAAUUCCUCUAGGAACAGAGGAAAUGCACAAAGCAUUUCCACUUCCAAGCAAGGAAUUAAAACACCUCAGUCCCUUCAAACAGCCAAAGUGUGAUGGCAUCCACUUCCAGGACAUCCAAGGAUCUACAGUUAUCUGCAGAACUGUGGAUGAAAAGAUUUAUCAAUUAAAGCAGAGGACUUGUGGUUCAUCAUUUCUGAAAACAUGGAGUUGAUAAUAAGCCAAUUUUACUUCUGAAAUCAGAAGGGUAAAUAAAUGAUGUGUAUAGAAAACCAUGUGAAAAAGUCUGAUACUGCAAAUGUCUAACCACAUGGUUUCAGCAGGAGGUUAGGAAUAUAAAUAGGAGUUAAGAACCCCUGCUGAACCUGGAGCAUGGUUAACUUUAUAUACUUGAGUAAUAUUUAAAUAAAUGGGAAUUCUAUAUGCUAUUAAGUAAUCUUGUAUUCAAAGGAAUAAAGCUGAGAAUAUUCUUCUCAGUUACGUGCAGUUACUUACACAUCAUUCAAUAUCUUUUUAUUUUAAUGUAAUUUAAAUUCACAUUUCAGUUUUCCUUAUGGUUUGAUGAACUGCAUAAAUGUUUGGUUUUAUUGAUAUUUUGUGAAUAAUGAGCUCCACUGGUACAUUCUUGUAACUGAUAAAAUACCCGCAAGUUCUGCAUUUAGUCAGCACAAUAUAUCUUUUGGAUUCUGGGUUGCUAAAUGUAAGAAAUUUGAUUCUAAUGAUAUUUCAAAAUAAUGAGAUCACUUAGUGUUAUCAAUUAAUUGUAAUAAGUAGAAAUAUUUGUUUGAUGUGUCACACUAUUAUUUUUUUAGUGGUAUAAAUCCAUCUUAUUUUACCAAUUCACUUAUAAUGCUAUGGUCAUAAUAUAUAUAAAUAGUUCCAUAUCAAAAUGCAUAAUUUUAUUAAUCUAUUUUUAUUGCUCAUUUUAAAACUAAUAAAACAUUGUUGCUGUGUUUGACUAUUUUAUAUUCACAACUAUUAAUAUUAUAUUAUAUUUACAUAUAUACUAAUUACAGUCAUAUAUAAACAAAUGCAAAAACACCUAACCUGUUAUAAGAAAGGACAAAAAGCUUCACUGUUUUAAUCCUGAACAGGAAAUAAAGGCUUCAGGCAAACUCAUAUUUCAAAAACUGAAGCCAGCUACCUCUAGACCAGUAUAAUCUCGGGGUGAUAUCUUUGGUGAUGAAUCUCUGGUAACUAAGAAAUAUAUACCAAGCAGAUUUUAUAUAUGAAAAGCAAAAGCAUUGUGAGAGCUACUUUAAUUUUAGAUUUAAUUUGAGAAGGUCGGAUAGAAGAAAAGUUCUUCCAGCUUUAAGGCUGCUACAGACCUCGAGUUUGAAGAGUCCAACAGACUGAAUCAUUGAUCUUGAGAGCAUCUUCAAACCACUACUGAAACUGGGAAAAAAAAGUCUGAUCUCUUUGCUAUUGCUAAGUGAUGUUUUCGUGUGUGGGUUCUAAUUUUCUAUACAUAACUUUGAGACGUGACAAGCCAGGCUGUUUCCCAAACACUGCAUCUGUGUACAAAGGAAAGAAUAAAGGAAAUUAGAUGGCACAGUUGUAGCAUGGCAUAUUAAAGUCUCUUUUAACUUACAGCUUUCAAUUUUACACUUGUAAAAAAAGUUAAUUUCAUUUUACACUUGUAAAAUAUUCUCAUACAGAAAGAUGCAAUGAAUACACAGAUUGUGACUAUCAUAUUUCAGAUGUGAGGUUCCUUGCAGGAGAAUAUGUUUAAAUUUAUAAUUAUAGGUUCUAAGUACUUUUGCCUCUAAAAUGGCAAGUGAGAAAUGGCAUUUCAGUCUGUUUUAAAUAAUUCAGGAUUUAAGGCACCAGAAGGCUACUAUUGAUGUUUGAUCUUGUCUUAGGUAUAAAGCAGGCAAUCUGCAACAGCUGUGACAUUAUAAUAAUAAAUAUAUUUGUAUUUUCACUCAAGCAUAACGCAUGGAAUAAUUUCUCUAGUAGUUAACUAAGACAGUAUCAUUAUGACCCACUAACCUUUGGUAUAUCUGAUAGCAUUAAAACAAUAAUGUUAUUGAGGCUGCAUCAGAGACUUCUUUUUGUGGCCUUUAGAUUGAAAUUAAUAGCAGUUUGGUGUGGUUUUACUAUUGAUUUUAAACCUAACAUAUCAAGGUGGUGCUACCCAUAGGAGGUCUACAGUGUUAGCAGUCUCAGAAUGGUUAAAGCAAUGAUCUGAUUUUCAUUUUGUGCAAUAUUACUGAUUCUUUGUGUGUUUUAGGCAGUGCCAUCCUUUCAUUUGCAACACAGAUUUAAUCCUGAUCUGAUAAUUUUAAUCUUUCAUACAAGAUGUUCAGCACUAUAUCAUCCAAGUGUAACUGCAAAUGUCACAACCAUUUAAGGGCCAAAAAGGUAUUGUCAUCCUUAUUGAUUUUAUUUUGAUAUUUUUACAGAAAUUCGGAACAGGCUAAGAAAAAAGUUAUUAAUUCUAAUCCAUAAUUGUUCUCUGGUAUUAACAAAACUACUUAACUGUAGUAAAGAGGUUCAAAUAUAUUAAAAAUUCUCUUAGUCAUCAGAACUAAAAAGGUAAUAGAUGGGAAACAACUGAUUUAAUAGAAGUCAGCCCAGAAGUCCAUUAAUAAUUCCUGGUCCAAAUUUGUCCAUAAACACUAAAACCAGUAAAAUGCACUGUAAAAACUGUAACAGAGAAGAUAAGAAAGAAGAAUAUCAAAAGAAAGUUCACAAAAUGGGAAUAAUUUUUAAAAAUUGUUUCUUAGUUUAGUUUUCAAUAUUAUCACUUUCAGUGGUGAGUCAUAACAUAAAAUGCAGCAUCUAUGACAGAAAAAUUAAUAUAAUUUCAGGUCAACUGAAUAUAUCACCUUAGUUAUCCAACAACAAACUACAAAUGACAUUUUUAAAAAUCAUCAACUUUCUUAACUUUGAGUCAGAUUACCAGAGCACUACUUUUCACCUGAUCUCAUUUUUCUCUUCCAAUUAUUGUUAAUCUUAGAGAGAUUUUUUUUCUUCAUUUUUUGGUUCAGGAUAUUGUAUUUUUGAAGCAAGGUAGAGCUACAUGAUAUGGAAUCUUGCCAGCUUCCGAUUAACAAUAAAAAUGUUAAGAGUAUUGGACUGUAAUAUAAUGAUAAGAUUAAACUGUGAAACAGGUUUGAUUAUAAAAGACCUCAUCUGAAAAAAAGGUAAUCCUGAUGUGAAAUGUUAUAUAUUACGGUUGAGAAGAAAUAAUAAACCAACUUAUACAUAUACUAAAAGUUAAAAUAUUCAAUUAUAUUUUAGAAGACAUUCUUAUCAGUGGAACACACUUGUUCUACCAAAAUAAAAGUUGCAUAAUUGGAAAUUAAAAA